CCUACGGGAGGCUGCAGUGGGGAAUAUUGGACAAUGGGCGAAAGCCUGGUCCAGCCAUGCCGCGUGUGUGAAGAAGGCCUUCGGGUUGUAAAGCACUUUCAGUGGGGAAGAAAGCCUUGGGGCUAAUACCCUCGAGGAAGGACAUCACCCACAGAAGAAGCACCGGCUAACUCCGUGCCAGCAGCCGCGGUAAUACGGAGGGUGCGAGCGUUAAUCGGAAUUACUGGGCGUAAAGCGCGCGUAGGCGGUCUGAUAAGCCGGUUGUGAAAGCCCCGGGCUCAACCUGGGAACGGCAUCCGGAACUGUCAGGCUAGAGUGCAGGAGAGGAAGGUAGAAUUCCCGGUGUAGCGGUGAAAUGCGUAGAGAUCGGGAGGAAUACCAGUGGCGAAGGCGGCCUUCUGGACUGACACUGACGCUGAGGUGCGAAAGCGUGGGUAGCAAACAGGAUUAGAUACCCCGGUAGUC
RNAcentral lists this ribosomal RNA (465 nucleotides) under Vreelandella stevensii. Its description in RNAcentral is "partial 16S ribosomal RNA". It matches the Rfam family "Bacterial small subunit ribosomal RNA", at positions 338 to 795 of the family's 1533-position model. The record is from RNAcentral. Lineage: Bacteria; Pseudomonadati; Pseudomonadota; Gammaproteobacteria; Oceanospirillales; Halomonadaceae.